Molecule: ribosomal RNA, 301 nt
Filed under: uncultured bacterium
Lineage: Bacteria
Description: partial 16S ribosomal RNA
Rfam family: Bacterial small subunit ribosomal RNA
Source: RNAcentral
CAGUCGCCGCGGGAAUACGGAGGGGGCUAGCGUUGUUCGGAAUUACUGGGCGUAAAGCGUACGUAGGCGGCUUUGUAAGUUAGAGGUGAAAGCCUGGUGCUCAACACCAGAACUGCCUUUAAGACUGCAUCGCUUGAACGUCGGAGAGGUGAGUGGAAUUCCGAGUGUAGAGGCGAAAUUCGUAGAUAUUGGAAGGAACACCUGUGGCGAAAGCGGCUCACUGGACCAUAACUGACGUUGAUGCACGAAAGCUAGGGGAGCAAACAGGAUUAGAUACCCGCGUAGUCCCUGUCUCUUAUAC